RNAcentral lists this ribosomal RNA (492 nucleotides) under uncultured eukaryote. RNAcentral describes it as "SSU rRNA". It matches the Rfam family "Eukaryotic small subunit ribosomal RNA", at positions 591 to 1088 of the family's 1831-position model. The record is from RNAcentral.
CUCAUAGCGUAUAUUAAGUUGUUGCAGUUAGAACGCUCGUAGUCGGAUUUCGGGGCGGGCCGACCGGUCUGCCGAUGGGUAUGCACUGGCCGGCGCGUCCUUCCUUCCGGAGACCGUGCCUACUCUUAACUGAGCGGGGGCGGGAGACGGGACUUUUACUUUGAAAAAAUCAGAGUGUUUCAAGCAGGCAGCUCGCUCUUGCAUGGAUUAGCAUGGGAUAAUGAAAUAGGACUUUGGUGCUAUUUUGUUGGUUUCGAACACCGAAGUAAUGAUGAGAAGGGACAGUCAGGGGCACUCGUAUUUUGCCGAGAGAGGUGAAAUUCUCAGACCAGCGAAAGACGAACCACUGCGAAAGCAUUUGCCAGGGAUGUUUUCACUGAUCAAGAACGAAAGUUAGGGGAUCGAAGACGAUCAGAUACCGUCGUAGUCUUAACCAUAAACCAUGCCGACUAGGGAUUCGACGAUGUUCACUUAUUGACUUGUUGAGCACCU